GAUGAACGCUGGCGGCGUGCCUAGUACAUGCAAGUCGAGCGAACGGACGAUAAGCUUUCUUCUCUGAUGUUAGCGGCGGACGGGUGAGUAACACGUGGAUAACCUACCUAUAAGACUGGGAUAACUUCGGGAAACCGGAGCUAAUACCGGAUAAUAUUUUGAACCGCAUGGUUCAAAAGUGAAAGACGGUCUUGCUGUCACUUUUAGAUGGAUCCGCGCUGCAUUAGCUAGUUGGUAAGGUAACGGCUUACCAAGGCAACGAUGCAUAGCCGACCUGAGAGGAUGAUCGGCCACACUGGAACUGAGACACGGUCCAGACUCCUACGGGAGGCAGCAGUAGGGAAUCUUCCGCAAUGGGCGAAAGCCUGACGGAGCAACGCCGCGUGAGUGAUGAAGGUCUUCGGAUCGUAAAACUCUGUUAUUAGGGAAGAACAUAUGUGUAAGUAACUGUGCACAUCUUGACGGUACCUAAUCAGAAAGCCACGGCUAACUACGUG
RNAcentral lists this ribosomal RNA (497 nucleotides) under uncultured bacterium. RNAcentral's name for it is "partial 16S ribosomal RNA". It matches the Rfam family "Bacterial small subunit ribosomal RNA", at positions 28 to 507 of the family's 1533-position model. The record is from RNAcentral.